Molecule: long non-coding RNA, 635 nt
Organism: Rhodamnia argentea
Lineage: Eukaryota; Viridiplantae; Streptophyta; Magnoliopsida; Myrtales; Myrtaceae
Exons: 2
Source: RefSeq, a predicted model, not a curated record
AUUUGAAGGCCGAACGUUGUCGGAAUAGGCUCAAAUUUUAGUAUGUUGUUCGUGAGGCCGAGGACUACGAAUUGAUCGGUUUCGUUCGUUGAGAUUCCUGUCCGAAUCCUCCAUCGCGUUUAUGACGAAGUGUUGCCCGUUUCUCCUCAACAGUUCUAUGCACUAAGGAAAAACAUGGCAUUUAGCUACAUUGGGGAUAUGUGGAACAAAUGGAACAUUCGAGGCUUCGUUAUAUUGAGUGUUUUUCUCCAGAUCUUUCUUAUUCUAUUUGCACCCCUUAGAAAGAAAACAUCAAAUGAAUCAAUCUUCUUCCUCUUGUGGUUGGCCUAUUUGAUGGCUGACUGGAUAGCUGCAUUCACAAUUGGGCUCAUUUCUCACAACCAAGGCAAUUCUUUGGCUCGUCCGUUUCAAGUAGAUGGAGCACUUCAGGCGUUUUGGGCCUCAUUUCUCUUGUUACAUCUUGGCGGUCCGGAUACUAUCACCGCCUUCUCUGUGGAGGAUAGUUCACUUUGGCAACGACACUUGCUUAGUCUCAUCUUCCAAGUCGGUGCUGCCAUCUAUGUCUUUGGGCAGAUAUUUCCCACCGACAGAUCGUUGGCGGUGCCAACAAUCCUAGUUUUUCUUAUCGGAGUGAU